RNA transcript from Alligator sinensis (Chinese alligator), 435 nucleotides. RefSeq lists it as uncharacterized. Lineage: Eukaryota; Metazoa; Chordata; Crocodylia; Alligatoridae. The record is from RefSeq and is a predicted model, not a curated record. The transcript is spliced from 3 exons.
UUCCUCGCCUCGCAUCCAGGCUCACCAAAGACAGACCCGCCGCGGUUCGGGCAGGGGUAGCCGGAUGUGCCCGGAGACACUGGCUCCAGACAGAGGAGCUCCUUGCACUGCUGUGCUGAGAGGGAAGGAGCCCAGUGCUCUGCGUGGGGGGGCCUGGAGCCCAUCCUGAGAGAGAGCCCCCUGCUCCAUGCGGGGUACUACAAGAAGUUCUCCAUUCCUGACCUGGACCGGUACCAGCUGCCCCUGGAAGCUGCUGCGCUGAGUUUCACCCACGCCAACAACACCCUGAUCAUCACGAAGCCGAAGGAGAUCCUGGCUGCGGAGCAGGAGCUGCAGAAGGAGCUGAAGAAGAUCAAAGCGGUGGACGACGGGGAUGGGGACGGGGAGUGCAAGACCCAGUAGGCACCCGCGGGCACCCCCCAGCCCUGCUGUUCA